This 164-nucleotide ribosomal RNA is filed under the name Justicia comata. RNAcentral describes it as "5.8S ribosomal RNA". The stretch from base 1 to 79 matches the Rfam family "5.8S ribosomal RNA", at positions 78 to 154 of the family's 154-position model. Lineage: Eukaryota; Viridiplantae; Streptophyta; Magnoliopsida; Lamiales; Acanthaceae. The record is from RNAcentral.
AAUCCCGUGAACCAUCGAGUCUUUGAACGCAAGUUGCGCCCGAAGCCUUCGGGCCGAGGGCACGCCUGCCUGGGCGUCACGCAUCGCGUCGCCCCCUCCCCCCGCUCCCCUGGAGCGGGGGGUCGGAGAAUGGCCUCCCGUGCGCUACGUCGCGCGGCCGGCCC